CCUACGGGUGGCUGCAGUGGGGAAUAUUGGACAAUGGGGGCAACCCUGAUCCAGCAAUGCCGCGUGUGUGAAGAAGGCCUGCGGGUUGUAAAGCACUUUCAGUAGGGAAGAAAAGCUCGGAGUUAAUACCUCCGGGUCUUGACGUUACCUAACGAAGAAGCACCGGCUAACUCCGUGCCAGCAGCCGCGGUAAUACGGAGGGUGCAAGCGUUAAUCGGAAUUACUGGGCGUAUCGCGCGAGUAGGAUGUGAAAGCCCUGGGCUUAACCUGGGAACUGCAUUCGAUACUGUCUGGCUAGAGUAUGGGAGAGGGAAGCGGAAUUUCCGGUGUAGCGGUGAAAUGCGUAGAGAUCGGAAGGAACAUCAAUGGCGAAGGCAGCUUCCUGGCCCAAUACUGACGCUCAGGUGCGAAAGCGUGGGGAUCAAACAGGAUGAGAUACCCCGGUAGUC
RNAcentral lists this ribosomal RNA (449 nucleotides) under uncultured bacterium. Its description in RNAcentral is "partial 16S ribosomal RNA". It matches the Rfam family "Bacterial small subunit ribosomal RNA", at positions 338 to 795 of the family's 1533-position model. The record is from RNAcentral.